This 450-nucleotide ribosomal RNA is filed under the name uncultured bacterium. RNAcentral describes it as "partial 16S ribosomal RNA". It matches the Rfam family "Bacterial small subunit ribosomal RNA", at positions 354 to 796 of the family's 1533-position model. The record is from RNAcentral.
GUGGGGAAUAUUGGACAAUGGGCGAAAGCCUGAUCCAGCCAUGCCGCGUGUGUGAAGAAGGUCUUCGGAUUGUAAAGCACUUUAAGUUGAGAGGAAGGGCAGUAAGUUAAUACCUUGCUGUUUUGACGUUACCAACAGAAUAAGCACCGGCUAACUUCGUGCCAGCAGCCGCGGUAAUACGAAGGGUGCAAGCGUUAAUCGGAAUUACUGGGCGUAAAGCGCGCGUAGGUGGUUCAGCAAGUUGAAGGUGAAAUCCCCGGGCUCAACCUGGGAACUGCCUCCAAAACUACUGAGCUAGAGUACGGUAGAGGGUAGUGGAAUUUCCUGUGUAGCGGUGAAAUGCGUAGAUAUAGGAAGGAACACCAGUGGCGAAGGCGACUACCUGGACUGAUACUGACACUGAGGUGCGAAAGCGUGGGGAGCAAACAGGAUUAGAAACCCCGGUAGUCC